Molecule: ribosomal RNA, 1838 nt
Filed under: Triticum aestivum (bread wheat)
Lineage: Eukaryota; Viridiplantae; Streptophyta; Magnoliopsida; Poales; Poaceae
Description: partial small subunit ribosomal RNA
Source: RNAcentral
UGCGCAGUCCGGGUGUCUUUUUCCCUGUGCCUAUCUCCCUCGUCUUGUUGAUGAUCGUCUCUCGACUUCCGUCUCUCCCCCUUCGUCGGCGCUCCAACCACCACGCCACGGGCCCAUCUGGCGGUUGGGCCUGGGGCGGCGCGGGUCGUAAAGGGGAGCGGCGCGGCGGCCUCUCGUGGAGGUGGGGGACGGGGGAACCUGGUCCUCGAUCGUUCAGGCCCUACCGCUCGCCUCGGCAGCGCGGCGGCGGCGGCGACCGGCCGCCCGCCGCGCCGAAGCCACCGGCCCCUCAGGAGGAGGCGGCCGCGGAGCGGCGGUGCGGCUACUUUCUACUUGGGCACCAGAGAUGUUUGCCACCUUUUCUCCUUUACUAACGGGUAUCACAAUUACAACGGUCUUUUCGUAGGUAAGGACCUCAAAGUAGUUCAAAUAGGUUAUCCUGUUGUCACUGCUGCGGUUGUGGAAACGUAGGUCGUCUUGGUAGACUAGAGGCAAAGUUAGCAGAAGCUGGGGGAUAACUCUUUUCACUAACGUUUAUGUGUUCUAUAAAACCAGCGAUACAACGAGCCCUCCGAUAUUACCUACUCCUUAUGACCCAUAAUAAGAACAAUGAACGUUUUUUAUAUGUAAGCGACUAAGACCCGUUAUUGAAUAUCAGCAGGUAAAGACUAACUGUACCAGCCGUGUACACAAAUACUACUCAAUCACUGUUAUUAAUUAUCCGAUGGACAGAAAACAAAGAGUACGAUUAUUCGAGUCUCGUACUCUAGACAUUUAUGAUUGUAAAUAUAAGGUUUAGUAAAUGGAAGUGUUAAAUCAAUCACGAUACUUCAUUGCUUUAUUGUAAAUGUAAUGGUGAUACGGAAUGUAGAGAAGAAUGGUUCUGAAAUAUCUAACGGCGUACCAACUCUCGUCUUCUAGUAAUACUUCUAGUCAGUCCGCUAGCGAUACAACUUUCGAAGUUUUCUUUCAAACGUAGUGUCCUUAAAGUACGAAAUUUCUUUGCUACAUCGUCCGUCCAACCUCUCUUCAUAUGGACAAAACAACGCCAUUUCUUACUACUGCAAUGUGCUUGACACGACUUAUCACAACAACCAUGCCAUCUAGAUACACAGUCCGUAGGAGAUAUACCCCUCUGUAUAGGGCGCCUCGGACCUUUGUGCGGUAAAAUGAGAUCUUAGAUAGUCGGUCUAGUCGGUUUUAAACCUAUAAAUUGGUUACAAACACAACGAUUCAUACGUGCCGCAGUUCCCUAACGGUCGUUGUACAACAAUAACCGGUAACUACGACGUUCUGAGCUACCACGACUUUCAUAAAUAUAAGUACAUGUAUUCCUAUUGAACGGUCGAGCCUCCGAGAUACUAGUACAUCCUAAGUUCUACCAACUGUACCUACCACGAGCGGUCAGUAGUCUAGACACGAAUGAGAGGAAGUCAAGGUGGGUGAUCCGAUCAAUUGUCCCCUAAAUAAGGGUAUAGGAAACACGUCCACUUUCAUACGGUAGUCAGGAGAACUAAAUCUUUUUCGUCCUGCCACAGUCACUUAUACAAAAUGGUAGAACGUGUACUAUUUUCUAACAUUUCAAGUUUUAGGAACCUUAGCAGAUGUACCCGCUGUCAUCCCCACAGGUCUUACGACAACUACAUACACACCCGAAAAGUAGACUUACGAAGCAAGAAAACAAUGACAUGUCAAACACUUUGUUCGGGUAGACUACCGAGACCCAAGUAAGAACACUCAGAAGUUCUUGUUUACAUGUAGGUACGGUUGUUUGUAAGCAUUAUUCUAGACACUAAUUCGAGGAAACCGGUAUCAACCCAGCCCGGAAAAUCAAAAAA